GGAGAGGAGGUUAGCUGAGGGCGGAGCUUGGAGCAGUUCUGGGGAAGCAGACGCUAUGUGGUCAGAGACGGCGAACUUGGUUAGGGAGGUAGCACGGGGUGUGCUCGGGGUACCAAGGGCUAUUCAGGCAGACAUCAGGGUGAUUGGUGGUGGAACGGUGUAGUCGAAGGAAAAGUGGAGGUGAAGAAGGCGGCGUUUGCUAAGUUGGCAGGG
Molecule: long non-coding RNA, 213 nt
Filed under: Nicotiana benthamiana
Lineage: Eukaryota; Viridiplantae; Streptophyta; Magnoliopsida; Solanales; Solanaceae
Description: long non-coding RNA (NBEN_LNC000989)
Source: RNAcentral